CAUGCAGUCGAGCGGAAAGGCCCUUCGGGGUACUCGAGCGGCGAACGGGUGAGUAACACGUGAGUAACCUGCCCCUGACUCUGGGAUAAGCCUGGGAAACCGGGUCUAAUACCGGAUACGACCACCGGCCGCAUGGCCUGGUGGUGGAAAGAUUCAUCGGUUGGGGAUGGGCUCGCGGCCUAUCAGCUUGUUGGUGGGGUAGUGGCCUACCAAGGCGACGACGGGUAGCCGGCCUGAGAGGGCGACCGGCCACACUGGGACUGAGACACGGCCCAGACUCCUACGGGAGGCAGCAGUGGGGAAUCUUGCGCAAUGGGCGAAAGCCUGACGCAGCGACGCCGCGUGGGGGAUGACGGCCUUCGGGUUGUAAACCUCUUUCAGCAGGGACGAAGUUGACGUGUACCUGCAGAAGAAGCGCCGGCUAACUACGUGCCAGCAGC
RNAcentral lists this ribosomal RNA (440 nucleotides) under Sphaerisporangium sp. YN-5-1. RNAcentral describes it as "bacterial SSU rRNA". It matches the Rfam family "Bacterial small subunit ribosomal RNA", at positions 54 to 515 of the family's 1533-position model. The record is from RNAcentral. Lineage: Bacteria; Bacillati; Actinomycetota; Actinomycetes; Streptosporangiales; Streptosporangiaceae.